This is a non-coding RNA of Schistosoma haematobium, 45 nucleotides long. The record is from Rfam. Lineage: Eukaryota; Metazoa; Platyhelminthes; Trematoda; Strigeidida; Schistosomatidae.
AUCCAGUUGACGAGUCCCGAAUAAGACAAAACGGGCGUCCUGCAU